AUAAGGUGAAGUUGGGCUGAAGGGCUGCUAAGAAAAUGAAUGUGGAAAAUUAAGGAAAGCUUCUGUCAAGAAGGUGUUCCUGGACACCUUGCUGCUGUGCUGUUUCUGGCAAAUCACAUCUGAUAAGAUACAGGAGUCAUUUUUAGUAACAACUCCCAGACUAUUAGCCCUGCCAUUUUUCCACUGCUGGAGGAAAAUAUGGACUCUUGCUGAGCUGUAUGGUAAAAUAUCUUGGCUAUAUCUGAAUCUACCACCAGUUAAAAGGCUUUUAAAGUGCUAGCAUGGAGGAACCAGUUUAAGGUAGAGGAAAGGAAAAAAAUGGGAAAAAAAGGAAACAUCUCUUUAGAUCUUUCUAUCUGUUAUUUUUUAGAUUAUGUUUCUUCUGGGCUCCCAAAAUCUUCAGUAACAAACAAGUUUUCUUGUAAAAAGUAUUAAGUUAUCAAAACAUUUGCCAGGUCCUAAUAUUAAAUCCUAGCAGUCAGCAAUGUUUAAUUUCAGCCAUAUCAUUUUGCUGAGUAAGUCAUGCUAAAACUUAAAGUUUUCCCCUCAAAAUGGUCUUUCCAAAUGAGAUUGAUAUUGUGAGAAAAAAAGAAAAAAG
This 598-nucleotide long non-coding RNA is filed under the name Serinus canaria (Common canary). RNAcentral's name for it is "lncRNA (ENSSCAG00000013003.1)". The record is from RNAcentral. Lineage: Eukaryota; Metazoa; Chordata; Aves; Passeriformes; Fringillidae.